Molecule: small nucleolar RNA, 277 nt
Filed under: Thermothelomyces thermophilus ATCC 42464
Lineage: Eukaryota; Fungi; Ascomycota; Sordariomycetes; Sordariales; Chaetomiaceae
Description: Myceliophthora thermophila ATCC 42464 Fungal small nucleolar RNA U3
Rfam family: Fungal small nucleolar RNA U3
About the family: Small nucleolar RNAs (snoRNAs) are involved in the processing and modification of rRNA in the nucleolus. There are two main classes of snoRNAs: the box C/D class, and the box H/ACA class.
Source: Rfam by way of RNAcentral
AGCGACAAUACUUCAGAGAAUCAUUUCUAUAGUAGUUGUCCUCUUUUGUGUUCCCUAAAGGAGCCACAGAUCCCACCCGGGUUGAUGAUCGAUAUCCUCGGCACCCUACAGUGAGGCUUUAUGUUUUUUUACUCUCGACCUGCCUGCAAAGGUGGCGGUUGUUGGCUCUUUGAGCUACAGCUGUAUAGAGAGUGGCGAUGAUCUGUACCCCGGCUUUUCUCGAGGUCUUGCCUUCGGGCGCUCGGGCGGGGUGGGUGUCGAUGGAAGUCUGACCGGC